Molecule: ribosomal RNA, 301 nt
Filed under: uncultured bacterium
Lineage: Bacteria
Description: partial 16S ribosomal RNA
Rfam family: Bacterial small subunit ribosomal RNA
Source: RNAcentral
CAGCCGCCGCGGGAAUACGAAGGGGGCUAGCGUUGUUCGGAAUCACUGGGCGUGAAGCGCACGUAGGCGGACUUUUAAGUCAGGGGUGAAAUCCCAAGGCUCAACCUUGGAACUGCCUUUGAUACUGGAAGUCUUGAGUUCGGGAGAGGUGAGUGGAACUGCGAGUGUAGAGGUGAAAUUCGUAGAUAUUCGCAAGAACACCAGUGGCGAAGGCGGCUCACUGGCCCGAUACUGACGCUGAGGUGCGAAAGCGUGGGGAGCAAACAGGAUUAGAUACCCCAGUAGUCCCUGUCUCUUAUAA